This 14831-nucleotide long non-coding RNA is filed under the name Zea mays. Its description in RNAcentral is "long non-coding RNA (ZMAY_LNC003326)". The record is from RNAcentral. Lineage: Eukaryota; Viridiplantae; Streptophyta; Magnoliopsida; Poales; Poaceae.
AUUUUUAUGAGGCAUAGGUAAUAACAAAUCAUGACCAAUGUAUAAAUUUCACAUGCCCAGGUUUUAUAUUUUAUUUAAUACAAAAAUAACAAUUUGUUAAUGCAAUAAAGCUUGUGAGAGCAAGUUAAUUCUAAAAUUAAUUAUUUUCUGUGGAUGCAUGACCAUAUUAAGUUUUCUUAGCCUACUAUAAUGUCAUGCAAGGACAGUGGAACACCAUUUUACAUUUUUGCAUCUAUACAUUAUUUUUAAAUCAUUUAAAACUAUUUAAGGUGCAUUAAACAAGUUAAAUUACUAACUUAAUCAUACAUGCACCACAAUUCAUGAAAUUUUUACCAGUCACUAAGCAUCACACCAAGUGUCUACUGUAAAAAUUUGAAUCUAUUUGGAGCACUAGAGCUACAGAUCCAAAAAUAACAAGCAAAUAAACCUUCCUUUCUCUAUUUAACUUGUUUUAAUUAACACACCAAGAAAACAGUGAACAACAUAUAAGUUUUAUAUUUUUUCUUGAUGGGGUAUGACAACAUCUAACUAACAAAACAAGUUUCAUCAUUUUUGGAUUUUUGUAAUUAAAACUAUGGAGAGAUGCAAGUUCGUUUAUUCUCUAAACCUGUUUUUAAAUACGAAUUUUUACAGAAAAACUUUUCCACUAAAACAUGCCAACAUAUAGAUCCAAUAGUUAGAGCAUUUCAUAAGAAAGCCAACAAAACAAAUUUCACGAUUUUAGGAGCUCUAAAACUUGAGAUAUGAAUUUUAGAACACAACACAAAAAUCUGUAAUUAGUGUGCACACUCACAUUGGCCCUGGGCCCACAUGUCAUAGACAGCGGGGUCUUCUUCUUCCCUUGACUUCUACACGCACAGCAACAGGGGCAAUCUGUAGGGCGCGUGCUCCAGGCCGGCUAAAGAGAAGCUAGGCGCCAAGCUAUAGACUAGAGGGGCGGCAACAAAGAAACAACGAGAGUAAACUCGAUCUGCCCACCCAAGGAGGGCUCAGCUGUCGAAGUUGAAGGGGAUGUCGCCAUGAGAGCUACGUCGGGCACCAGCCAUGGAAAAAAAAGGCUUCCCUGCGCUAGAGAGGGGGAGAGGAGGGAGAAGCGCCGUGGAGAGGGGAGGUUCUCGGCCAUGGCAGCAGCAGGGAGGGGCACGGGGUAUAAAUAGAAGGGAGUGAGCUUCAACCAUUGGUGGCAUGGGCGGCAUUGCUGCAGAGCUCAGAGCAGGACAGUCUGCUGGCAGGUGAUGGCAGGACGACUUUGGACGUCCAGUUUUGGCAUCUUCCUCUUGGAAUCGGAUCUUGGCCACUGCACAAAAUAUCUUCCUUGAUGUAUAAUCUACAACUCGUUUAUAGAGAUUGAGGUGAUUCGGGCAGUGGUUAGAAAGUUAUAGACCCACGAAAACUGGUUUGUCAGUGUGUCAGAAAACAGUGGAAACUCGCAAAAACUGAAUGUCAAAGCAUGUCAAACGGAAUCGGAUGAAUGCCACCUUUUAAUAUGUUGUGCCCCUAUUAGUUAUUAACAACUUUUAUAUUUGGGAAAACUUGAAUUGUUCAACAAAAAUUUGGGAACGCGAGACGUCUGUAAGGAAAAUGGACCCCGGGCCAUUUGGCUAAUUGAGUUUUGGUGUUUGAUGAACAACACAAUCAAUGAACUAAUAAGGCUUCUAGUGUUUGUGUUUGUAGUUCACAGAAUGCGAAGAGAGUUGGACCAAGGCAAUGAGGAAGCAACACCUCAAAAGAAGACAUUAAAAGAUGCGUAGAAGUCCAAUACUCAAGAACAAAGAAGCCCGAAGAAAUCAGCGAAGAAAUCCAAAGAAGGGCUGUCAGCCAGCGCCUGGUGGCGCACCGGACAUGCUACAGUGCACUGUCCGGUGUGCACCGGACUGUCCGGUGAGGUCUCGGACAGUCUGCGCAGAGAGGCCACAGGCAGGCACUCUCUGGCUGUAGCACCGGACUGUCCGGUGUGCACCGGACUGUCCGGUGUGCCAACGGGCAGACGGCAACGGUCGAAUCCAACGGUCGGAUCCAACGGUCGGAUCCAACGGUCGACUGCUACAGACGCCAACGGUCGGCUGACAUAGGCGCACCGGACAUCUACUGUUCAGUGUCCGGUGGUGCACCGGACUGUCCGGUGCACCCGACGACAGAAAGCUGCUGCUUUCUGUCCAACGGCUAGUUGGGGGUGUGGAGGCUAUAAAUACCACCCCAACCGGCCAUUCUCAUGUGUGAGAGCCCAAGCAACAUUCCAAUACACAUAGUGCAUAUUUCCAAGUGCUCAAACACCCAAGUGCUUAAUAGAAUCACUCGGUGAUUAGCGUAGGUGCUUUGCGAAGUGCUUAGGUUAGUUAGACCGCUUUAGCGCUUGCUCUAGGUGAAUCCUAGUUAGUUGAGUGAGUCUAGAUAAACCUCACAACCCCUCGGCUCUUGCGCGAGCCGUUGUAAUUGUACCGAGUGGGGCGAGAGUCUUGCGAGACCGUGACAACCGUGUUUGUGUCACGGCCGCCACCGUGUACCGGAGGGAACGAGGCCCGCGGCGUUUCGGCCGGAAGCUCGAUAGUGGAGACGGCGGGGAGCGUCCGAGAGGAGCCGGAAGCGGAGCACCACUUGCGCGUGGAGAAGGCCCGCGGCUCUCUACGGAGUUACUCGACCGAGGUGCUUGGCCCUCGCGUGGGCUUCCCUUUGCGUAGGGGCACCAACGAGGAUUAGUCGGGACCUUGCGUGGUUCCGGAUACCUCGGUAAAAAUACCGGCGUCAUCCACGAGAGUUUGCUUCUCUACUUAGCUCUUUACAUUCCGCAUUUAUAUUAAAGCAUUUAAGUUUCAAUCUUGUUGUCAUACUUAUUUAGUGUAGAUUGAAACUUAGUCUUUGCGGUAGAGAUAGCAACACUUAGACAAAACCUAGUUUGCACAUUCUAGUGUUGAUUCUUGCAUAGGUUUUGCUCUAGGGAUUUAAUUGUGGCCAAGUUUAGUAAAAGUUUUAGAAGUCCUAAUUCACCCCCCCCCUCUUAGGCGUCACCCGUUUCCUACAAUUGGUAUCAGAGCCCGGUUUGGCUCAUUUGAAACGCUUUAGCUUCACCGCUAAAAGAGCCGACGCUUUUUAGAGGAAGGGAUGGAUACCCAUAGGCCACCACACUUCGACGGCACUAACUUCCCUUAUUAUAGUGCUAGAAUGGCUUGUUACCUAGAGGCCGUUGAUCUAGGUGUUUGGAGAGUCACUCGUGACGGGAUGAAACCCCUCAAGAAUCCCGAGAAACCCACCACGAGUGAGGAAAAAGAAAUUCAUUUAAAUGCUAGAGCCAAAAAUUGCUUGUAUGAAUCUCUUAGCAUGGAUAUUUUCAAUCAAGUAUUUACCCUGAAAACUGCUAAUGAGAUUUGGCUAAAAUUGCAUGAGCUCCAUGACGGCACAUCCAAUGUCCGUGAGCAAAAACAUUGCCUAGUCUUAAAUGAGUAUAAUUCUUUUGCUAUGAAAGAUGAUGAGCUUGUUAGAGACAUGUAUUCUCGCUUGAAUCUAAUUAUCAAUGAGCUCAAUUCUAUUGGCAUUAAUAAGCUAGGUGAUGCGGACAUUGUGAGGAAGAUUAUCUCCCUGCUACCACAACAAAGAUAUGGGAGCAUCAUCACCAUCCUUCACAACAUGGAGGACUUGAGCAACAUGACCCCGACCAUUGUGAUUGGGAAAAUCGCGGCCUUUGAGAUGUCGCGAAAAAUGAGUCGGGGAGAGGAGCCAACUUCCUCAAGACCAUAUGCUUUUGCAUGUGAUGAAAGGAAGGGCAAAAAGAAGGCUCCCACUCCAAGUUCCUCAAGUGAAGAAGAGGAAGAAGAAGAAAGUGAUGAUGAUGAAGAUAAUCAACCAUGCACAUCAUCCUCCGAGGACGAAGAAACGAUCCGACGCGUCGGAAAGGUAAUGGGGAUGAUCCGCAAGAUUAAUCUAAUGGGUGUGCCCCUGCAGGUCGAGGAUCUUCUCUUUAACAUUGACAGAAAAAAGCAAAGGAAGAGAGGAUGCUUCGCAUGUGGGGAGAAGGGCCACUUCAGGGACAACUGUCCAAAUAUGGCCAAACCCAACAAGGAGAGGAGCAAAGGCAAGGCGCUAACAAGUGUUAGAACGUGGGAUGAUUCUUCAAGUGAAGAUGAACCUCCAAGGACGCGCAGCCACCGGUCCUCGUCACGAUCAUCACGGUCAUCACACAAAUGCCUUAUGGCAAGAGGUAACAAAAGCACUCCAUCCUCUAGUGAUGAAAGUAGUAGUGAUGAUGAAGGUGAGGGAAAAGCCUCUCUAGAUGAGCUUGCGGAAGCCGUAGAAUUUUUCCAGGAUGUUUGCACUAAGCAAAAAGCUCAACUUAAAACUUUGAAAAAUAAGUUGGUUAGCUCUCAAAAUGAUUACAAAGGUUUGCUAGAAAAAUUUGAAACUUUUGCAAACUUAAAUAGUGAGCUAUCAACUAAACUUGAGCUAUUAGAAUCUAGUGCUCCAUCCACUGCUACCGAUGAUAGCCUUAUUAAAAAGAAUGAAAAACUUAAGGCUAAGUUAGCUAGCUCCCAAGAAGCUAUUGAAAAUUUGCUAGAGAAAAUGGAAAUUCUUAGCAUACACAAUAAUGAGCUAACUACUAAGCUAGAAAACAUUGGUAGCACCCCAGCAGCAUCUUUAGUUGAAAUUCCUGAAAUUAUUAAGAAAGAUGCUUCUACUUCCUGCUUUGACUUAAUUGAUGAUUCUAACCCCUGCAACCAAGUUGUUGUUGAGAAUAUUGUUGUAGAGACAUGCUCUGAUGAGGUUGCAAAGGAAAAUGAACAAUUAAAGCAAGAAGUGGCUCGUCUUGGCAAGGCUUUGUAUGACAAGAAAGGCAAAGCCAAACAAAUCCGACCUCCACAGGAUAACACCACUGCGGGAGUGAACAAGCCUGUAGAGGGAGAAACUGUGAUUUGUAGGCUAUGCCACAAGGGAGGCCACAAGUCUUUCCAAUGCAAGGCGAUGACCGGAGAUAAACAAAGGCAAAAGCUCAAGCAAAAGCCAACAAGCAAAAUCUCCAGCACCUACAUCAAAAAGGUGAACAAAAAGGACGCUACACCAUAUUUGAUCAAGAAGAAAAAGAAUGGAAAGGUGAUAGCAAUCAAGGCCAACAAGCAAGCCAACAAAGGAAAGGGGGCCAAACGCAUCUGGGUGCCAAAAGAGAUAAUUUCAACCAUGAAAAGCACCAAGAAGGUUUGGAUCCCGAAAGGGAAGUGAGUGGACCAAAGGUCUUCGGGAAAUUUGGAGACUUAGCUAAAUUGGGAUGUAUUUCAUGGGAUACAUCAUAUUGGAUCAAGUUUAUUGCCAAGUGGGCUAGUGAAAAUUUUGGACCCAAAUUUCCCACCCAUGACUAAGGUAACUAGUUUUGUUGUAUUUUUUGUUUUUAGAUAUGCGUAUCUAUUUACCUUUUAUCUAGUUUACCUUUCUUGCCUAGUAUUACAUUUGUUAUGUACUUUUGUUCAAAAUCAUGCAUACUAGGUAAAUCAUAUGGUAGGAUUGCUAGUUUUUAAAUUCAUAUACUUAAGCAAACCUACAUGGCUUAAAAUGUUUAGUUAAAGCACGGCACAUAGCUUUUAUAUCACUCUAUAGUAAAUGAUGCAAUAAUUGAAAAUUUUGAUUCCUACAAAGUGUAUCAUUUAACUUAUAUGUGCCAAAGUUUGGAUUAUGGAUAAUUUGCCCCUCUUGAUAUCAAAUCAAAGUGCAUGUCUCCUACAAGUAUUCAAAACUUGUAUGCACACCUUUAGGGGGAGGUUACUCUAUAAUCUAACACUUUGAGACUAACACCUUUUCAAGUCUAUUUCAUGUGAUAGUCUCAUUGUAAGGAAAAUGAAGUCCCCGGAGAAAGACAACAAUCUUCCACUGCAAAAUCUCCAAGAACUCUCAUGUCUCUCAAGCUCGCCAUUGAUCUUCAAUUGGUAUCUUUUGAGACUACAUUCAGUAUCAUUUACAUGUCUUCUCCCAAAUUUGAUUAGACUAUAUUUCAUAUCAUAUGCUUCCAUGUUGCAAAAAUGCAUAAGUAGUUAACUCAUAGUCUGUUACCUAUGCAUAAGGGAAGUUAGUCUUUUCAAAUCAUGUCUUGCACCUCUAAUUUUUCACAUGCUUUUUCCCUAAGUAGAGCAUCCCUGUCAGGGGGAGUAUUUCUUCAUCUCUAAAGGGGGAGAAAAACUCUUUCUAAAGGAGACAACUCAUUUAGGGGGAGUAAUCUUUUGAGGACUCCUUCAAGUGGUAUCAUUCACAUAGUUUAAUUUAAUAUCCUUCUAGUGAUAUCAUUUGAUACAAUUCUUGAUGAGGGCAAGCUUUUAUUUACUUCCUACAUGCUUUUAAUGUCUUCCUUUUCGGUGGUUGAUGCCAAAGGGGGAGAAGUUUAGGGACCAAAGCAAUGAAAACUAUAUCAAACACCACACCAAUUUAAAAUUUUAUAUCUACAAAUGGUUUUUCAAGUGGUUUUGGUUAUUUGGUCCAAAUAUAGGAAGUAAGUGAAUUAUGGAGUUAGGGGGAGGCUUAAGUCCAUAAUAUCACAUUGUGGGGACAAUCAUGCAUCUUAGCAAGUAGAUUGCAUAUUUUCACUCAAAUUCUUGUAUUAUUUGCUUGCUUUGGUUGUGUUGUCAUCAAUCACCAAAAAGGGGGAGAUUGUAAGGAAAAUGGACCCCGGGCCAUUUGGCUAAUUGAGUUUUGGUGUUUGAUGAACAACACAAUCAAUGAACUAAUAAGGCUUCUAGUGUUUGUGUUUGUAGUUCACAGAAUGCGAAGAGAGUUGGACCAAGGCAAUGAGGAAGCAACACCUCAAAAGAAGACAUUAAAAGAUGCGUAGAAGUCCAAUACUCAAGAACAAAGAAGCCCGAAGAAAUCAGCGAAGAAAUCCAAAGAAGGGCUGUCAGCCAGCGCCUGGUGGCGCACCGGACAUGCUACAGUGCACUGUCCGGUGUGCACCGGACUGUCCGGUGAGGUCUCGGACAGUCUGCGCAGAGAGGCCACAGGCAGGCACUCUCUGGCUGUAGCACCGGACUGUCCGGUGUGCACCGGACUGUCCGGUGUGCCAACGGGCAGACGGCAACGGUCGAAUCCAACGGUCGGAUCCAACGGUCGGAUCCAACGGUCGACUGCUACAGACGCCAACGGUCGGCUGACAUAGGCGCACCGGACAUCUACUGUUCAGUGUCCGGUGGUGCACCGGACUGUCCGGUGCACCCGACGACAGAAAGCUGCUGCUUUCUGUCCAACGGCUAGUUGGGGGUGUGGAGGCUAUAAAUACCACCCCAACCGGCCAUUCUCAUGUGUGAGAGCCCAAGCAACAUUCCAAUACACAUAGUGCAUAUUUCCAAGUGCUCAAACACCCAAGUGCUUAAUAGAAUCACUCGGUGAUUAGCGUAGGUGCUUUGCGAAGUGCUUAGGUUAGUUAGACCGCUUUAGCGCUUGCUCUAGGUGAAUCCUAGUUAGUUGAGUGAGUCUAGAUAAACCUCACAACCCCUCGGCUCUUGCGCGAGCCGUUGUAAUUGUACCGAGUGGGGCGAGAGUCUUGCGAGACCGUGACAACCGUGUUUGUGUCACGGCCGCCACCGUGUACCGGAGGGAACGAGGCCCGCGGCGUUUCGGCCGGAAGCUCGAUAGUGGAGACGGCGGGGAGCGUCCGAGAGGAGCCGGAAGCGGAGCACCACUUGCGCGUGGAGAAGGCCCGCGGCUCUCUACGGAGUUACUCGACCGAGGUGCUUGGCCCUCGCGUGGGCUUCCCUUUGCGUAGGGGCACCAACGAGGAUUAGUCGGGACCUUGCGUGGUUCCGGAUACCUCGGUAAAAAUACCGGCGUCAUCCACGAGAGUUUGCUUCUCUACUUAGCUCUUUACAUUCCGCAUUUAUAUUAAAGCAUUUAAGUUUCAAUCUUGUUGUCAUACUUAUUUAGUGUAGAUUGAAACUUAGUCUUUGCGGUAGAGAUAGCAACACUUAGACAAAACCUAGUUUGCACAUUCUAGUGUUGAUUCUUGCAUAGGUUUUGCUCUAGGGAUUUAAUUGUGGCCAAGUUUAGUAAAAGUUUUAGAAGUCCUAAUUCACCCCCCCCCUCUUAGGCGUCACCCGUUUCCUACAGUCGACUCGAACGAUGCUGAUUUCAGACUUAGAAGAAUUCGAAUUCUGAAAUCUGAUUUUUAUUCUGUCUUGAUGGCACUGUUUGAGAUACUUAGAGAUUGAAUCAAGGUUUGGUUUAAAUAAAAUAUUUGUUGUAUAACACAUGUUCUACAAAUUUUAUUAAAGGUCAAACCUCAUAUCUUGAAUAUAAAUAAAAGUUUCACUUUGGUCAAGGUAGCAUCAUUAUAAUGCUUCAAACUAUAUUUUUAAGGCAAUCAGGGUAUUUUCUCGGUAUUUCCUUGGCAUUUUCUCUACAUGAACCCUUAAUAACUUUUGUUGUAGAGUUGAUUUAGAGUGUUUUGGGAAAGUUGCCAUAACUUGUUUGAAUUUCUAAAUUUGCUUUUACUUAAUCGAGCAGUCUCAGGUAAGCGUAGGAUUUAUAAUUUCACACGAAUAUUUGGUUCAAACUUUAAGAAAUCUUUAGAAUACGCUUGAUAGAUAGAGAUGGAUGAUGACAUAAAUAUAACAAGCUGAAUUGCAUAAUAAAUAAUUAGAGGUUGACACUAUAGAGAUUUCACUGAAGAAUGCGGAUUCGAAUUAAGUAUUUGGACGUAGACCGACUAUCGAGAAAGCGGAUUCGGACAUAGAUCGGAUAAUAUCACAACUGUUAAGAGUCCAAAUAAAUGAGUCUGGACAAGAGUUAUGAGGCGAUAUUGACUUUCGAAUUUGCAUUUGCUCCGAGAAAUAAAAGUUUUAACAGGCUCCAAAUUUGGUUGUUCUUGAGAUCGAAUAAUUCCAAAUUUGGUGAAACAUUCAUGAGUAACUUGAUGAAUGAAGAUAGAUGUGAUAAAGAGAUAGAAAUUUUCACUGAGCAUCCGAGAUUAGGAUAAAUCUCCCGACAUAACGCGAAAUAGACACCUGGGGUGUCACAGCCUUCCCCCCUUAAAAGAAUCUCGUCCCGAGAUUCGAAUGAGGAUCUUCAAGGGUGGAGAAGCAUGUAACUCCCAAGCUGAAGAUAGAUGCAAAUUCAUGAAAUGUCAUCUGACAAGAUACUGAAAAUAGAUUUGGACGUAAUACCGUGACAUAUUGAGACAAAAUGCCACGACCACUUUGAGAGAGUGUUCACAAAACACAGCACAUCGGUGUAGUUCCAUAAUGGAUCACGACUAUUAACCGCGAUACCAGCGCGUGCCGAGUAGCUCAACCAUGUGUGCACCAUAGUAGGCUCUCGGUUUCAUCGCGGCACCAUCAGUCAUUGGUCAUAAUACCAUUACCAAACACAACAAAUGAGAAAUUCACAUAGCAUAGAUAGAUGGAGCCCGUGAGAGUAUGGCUCAGAAAAUAAGAAUGUGACCGGAGUUGAAGCAGAGAUUGUUGGCAAAAGAGCAUCACAUGAGAAUUUUCUUCAACUUAGAGAACUAUUUUAUGAUCAACACGGAGAUUACCAGGCCAGAGAUUAGUACGAGAUGGGAUACCAGAAGGAAGCACUCAAGAGAUCAUGAUUACUGAGCUUCUCAGAGACAUUAGAGAACCACAAGAUAACAACAAAAUCCCUUGAUCCAAAUGGAUACAUUGUCUAUAGAUAAAACCGAUAAAGCAACGUCAUGAUCAUCGGAGAGAAGAGUAUGAGAACGAUCAUAAUGAGAUAUGAGACAGAUCCAUAUUUAAUACUUGAGAGUGGGUUAUAGAAGAUAACAAGAUGACGGGGUAGAUCUCGAUGAAUGAUCCAGAGAUUCGUAUGAUAAAGCCACAACAUGAUUCACAGGGAAAAGAUUACCAGAUUUAGGUGAAAAAGAGAGGUCAUCAACCCAGAUGGCUUCUAGGUUGAGCAGAGGAGAAUUUAAAGAGGCUUCUGGACAAGAUUUCCAAAAAGAAUUUGAGACUGGAUAUUGUUUUGCGCAAUAGACACCAACCAAAGUUUUAUAUAAUUUUUUUAACAUAAACAAGUGCACAAGGAGGCUUUAGGCGAUCUAGUGGUCAAGCUAAAGAGAUCUACAAGCUGUGUAGGUGUAACUUCAAGGGUGAAACACGCAAGGGUUCAAAAAACACUAACACCAACACAAGCAUAUGAUAAUUUUUUUAAAAGGUUUUACUUGCUAACCAAAAGGCUAUUUGGGGGGGGUCUUUUCAUGAGCAGAACAUACAACAUUUUUUGUAAAAAGGGUUGAACAAUACAAUACCACCUAGAUAGCAAGACAAGAGAAACACAUAACACGACCUAACAAGACUUACCAAUCUGACACGAGGUAAGACAUUUCUAACAUAGAAGUACAUCACAUUAUUCACAAGUUCUUAUUAUUGGAAUAAAGGUGAGAGAAGCAUGUUGGUGCACAAGAGACAAUUAUAAUGCGACAAUCAUGAUGCAUGCUCAUUCUAGUCGUCUUCUCAGACCUAACUACUUUUCGAGUGCUUCUACAACAUCCUUAUUAAUAGUAGUAGUAGCCUUUAGGGCCUAUAUAAAUAGCCACCUAGCUACCCAUCUAUUUCCUAAGGCUUCACGUCCUAGGUCUAUCCUUAUCGUCCUGAUAUCUAUACAACUUUGGUUUCUAAGCAAGUUUUACUUUAGAAAAGGUUGGUAAUCAUGACUUAUUGACUUCUCUGUACUGGUAUUCGCUCCGAUACCAGCUGUGGCGGAACCGCCCGAAUUAUUCCAGCGUGAGUGCCCAAAUCUCGUCUUAGGGGCAACGACGCACUUAAAUUGGAAUAACCCGUCAGUCCCUCGGAUCUAGUCCGAUAAAGCCACUUAUCCAGGAUCGAAUACCACUAGCUCACUCGAAGGUGAGGCACAGAGAAAUACAAUAAAGCAUAAUACCACAAAUUUAAGAAGUAUUAAUAGUGAUUACAUUAUCGGAGUUUCAAAAGCAGUAACAAUAGUUUUUAGUGCAGCGGAAAUAACUAACGGAGAAAACCGAGUAUCAUGGCGAAGCCUGGCCACGCUACUCCUCCUGGUCCUCUCCUACGGAAACAGUAACCCACUCAACCGUCUAUCCCGGUGGCAGGGAUGAAGGCUAAGUCACACCAUCAACCAAAUCAAGGAGGUACCUGCAAAAAUUAUGCCACAAGCAAGGCUGAGUAUACUAAUACUCAGCUAGACUUACUCGGUGUGAGGAGUCUACUCCUCUACCUCUAGACAUGCAGCUGUUUGGCUGAGGGGUUUGGUUUGCCAAAAGCACUAGCUGAGUCUAACAUCAAGUUUUAGCUUUUCAAGUUCUAGAAUAAUAACUUAGACUAGAUGAGAACCUAUCUAUUCAUACAUGAUAUCAAACAUUAUAUCAAUCAACAUCUUUUGCCAGUAUCUCAUUUCCACUUAUUACUCAAUGCAGUACAAUGGAUCAAGCAGUCUCAUUAGCUGCGAGAAGCAGACGAUUCGAAUCGAGUUUUAACCUUGCAAGGUAAACCUAAACACACGACAUGUCAGGGCACUCCGUCCCCACACAUGUCAACCGUCCCCAUCGAUUCCCCGUUCGCGUCCAGGCCUCACCGCCUUGGCAUACAAUGCUCCACUGACCCCGGCCGCCGCCGUGCAGUGGCCGCACUUGUACCCACCAUAUCUAGAAUGGGAGACCCAGUCUCAGGUCGCGUGAGGGAUAAAGUCCGCGCCCGGCUUCACUCAGGUACUAGGUUUACCGGUUACCAUUUUUCCCGACAUGUGCUUAGUAUGUUCAAACGUUUGACACAGGUAUCCGCACGUUAAUUCUUAUUCCAAUUUUGUCUCAUAGACAACGCAUCCCCAUGGAUCCGUGUCCACAGACCAUCAUCAUUCCGUUAUCAAAAAUGGAUACAACCAAUUCCUGACCUCGCGCGAGUGCUAGAAAAAUCACUCGACUUCUACCGAGAUCCUGAUUUAGCAUAGCAGCUACUCGACCUAGCAUACUAGUAUCCAUCUCAAAAGGAAUCCUGAGUUCAUGCAACUAGGGUUUCAACCAACUCCUACACUUAAGUGCACGGUACAAGCCUACAAACAUUAAGUGUAGUAAAAUAGCAUAUAUAAACGGUUAUGCAUAAAACCGGGGCUUGCCUUUAAUUUAACACUUAGGUAGUGUUUGUUGGGGGAGGUGCUCGCUUGGCGAGCAUCCACUGGUUAAGUCCAUCCUUUCUUGGGUCGUCCACCGACUGCAUCUUGUGGUUGGCACCACAUCACUUGCACGAUCAUCCUGUCUCGGUCCUAAAUGAGAUGCAAGAUGCAUAUGUAUGAAUAUGAUGAAAUAUAUCACAAGAUAAUCCCAAAAUGGACGGUAGCGAACUAAACAUUAAAUUGUAAGACACUGCGACAAUUGUACGCAAGCACUAGUUAUCUAUACGUCAUCGGGCAUACGUAGUCAAUCAUCACUGGAAAACCACAAACACUUCCUAUAAUUAUCUAUUGCAAACACGACAUCAUAAGUACAAGCAUUCGCCACGUUCACUUUUAUCAUUCAUUGGUUACUUAUUAUUAAACUAGUUAAGUACGCAUAAAUUUACGAUGACUUACACAUAGACAGACUUAGUUAAAAAAGAAUAGUUGCUUAAUCGGGUUUUACAAUCAUUCACAACCUUCUACUGCAAGCAUACACCCCAGAGAACACACAUGAGGAGAUAGUUUAUUCACAAUUACAAAUUGUACUACUUUAAUGACGUUGGUUACUUAGUAGUAUUAACAGAAAGGCAAAGACAAGACAUUAUCAUUUUGUUUCUUCGAACAUAUAACUGCAUUGCUAAGUGUUGAUUAAGCUAAGCUACGUAUUAGACCUUAACCAAUUUAGUUCACUAACUUAGUGAGAUGUGUACUAUUUACUUAUAUAUAACCUGAUUAUAUUAGUUACUAUCAUUGUUACUCAUAUUCACUUAAAACCAAAACAAGCAAGCAAUCACUCAAGUCAAACACAAUAGAGUAGAGCAAUCAAUCACUUCUAACACAUUUAGGACAGCAGCACAGUAGUUUUUGUUUUAAUCAUAACUCUUCAAAUAUUAGUUCAAAAUUAUCAAACUAGGAUUUUCUGGAAAGCUUAAAAAGUGUUCUACAACUUUGAUAUUUUUAUCUCAGCAUGAUUAGACUCUUAGCAAGGCCGAAUUGUGUAAACACAGCAGCUCUGUCCAGAUUUGGACAGAUUCAGACUUGCGACUUCAAAAAUUCACAACUACAGAUUCAGACAUCCAAACAAAGCGAUCCUAGACUUUCUGGAAAGGUAAUAAAAUUUUCUACAUAUCAUUUAUAAACAUAUCAAGGUGAUUCAAUAUUUAACUAAGGACAAAAGACACUAGAAGGCUUUGCUGUCCAGAAUUGGACAGAUUCAGUCUUCAGACUUUAAACAUCCAUAACUUAAUCUUCAGAUCACCAAGAAGAGUGAUCCAAGACUUUUUGAAAAGCUCAGCAAAAGCACUACAUAACUUUUAUAAUCACCAAAAAGUGAUUCCAUGUUUAACUAAAUCAAACAAUACAUUUUUCGAAAUCUGUUCUGUCAGUGGACAGAACACAGCAACCAGUUUGUAAAAUUCAUAAUUCUCAAACUGUCAGGCCUAUGGUUGUGAAAUUUUAACACAAGCAAGAUAAGAAAAGCAUCUAAAAUUUUCUUAUAAUGACCAUGAACAGAUUGUAACAUUAAAUUAGGCAAACAAUGCAGUUUCUGAAAUCUGUACAGAAUUUGGGCAGAUUCAGUUACUGAAUUUGUGAAAAGCACAACUUCUAAAUGAUCAGACGUAUGACUGUCAAGUUUUAACACAAGAACGUUAAUAGAGUUAUCUAUAACUUUAUUGUGACCAUCAAUAACUGAUUUUAACAUUAACUUAAGCAACAAUUGCAAUCUCUGAAAUCUGUUCAAAAAUUGGACAGAUUCAGUUACUAAACUUGUGAAAAGUAUAGCUCCUAAACAAUCAAUUCUUAGCUCAUGCAUUUUUAGGACAAGCUACAUACACAAGUAAACUACAACUUUUAUAUAGCACAUAUCUACAGAAAACACAAUUUACUUUACUAGAUUACUCACACAACCAAAACUGUACAUCCAUAAAAUUCAGUUUGCUAGCACAAGAGCACUUAACUAAAUCACCAAGCAAACUCAUAGAGAUACUAUCACCAAUUUCUUAAAUUCAAACCAUUAUGACCUAGUUGUAAAGUUUUAAUUUAUAUCAAGGCACUUAAGUAUUUCAAGAAACAUGCAUGCCCUUGUUUACUUCUAAUUUUUCACUAAUUGUUCUUAUAAUUAUAAAAUGUGUGUCAUUUUAGUACCAUAUAAAACUAUCUAAUUUGGGGCUGCAAUUUUUAUGAGGCAUAGGUAAUAACAAAUCAUGACCAAUGUAUAAAUUUCACAUGCCCAGGUUUUAUAUUUUAUUUAAUACAAAAAUAACAAUUUGUUAAUGCAAUAAAGCUUGUGAGAGCAACUUAAUUCUAAAAUUAAUUAUUUUCUGUGGAUGCAUGACCAUAUUAAGUUUUCUUAGCCUACUAUAAUGUCAUGCAAGGACAGUGGAACACCAUUUUACAUUUUUGCAUCUAUACAUUAUUUUUAAAUCAUUUAAAACUAUUUAAGGUGCAUUAAACAAGUUAAAUUACUAACUUAAUCAUACAUGCACCACAAUUCAUGAAAUUUUUACCAGUCACUAAGCAUCACACCAAGUGUCUACUGUAAACAUUUGAAUCUAUUUGGAGCACUAGAGCUACAGAUCUAAAAAUAACAAGCAAAUAAACCUUCCUUUCUCUAUUUAACUUGUUUUAAUUAACACACCAAGAAAACAGUGAACAACAUAUAAGUUUUAUAUUUUUCCUUGAUGGGGUAUGACAACAUCUAACUAACAAAACAAGUUUCAUCAUUUUUG